UACGGAGGAUCCGAGCGUUAUCCGGAUUUAUUGGGUUUAAAGGGUGCGCAGGCGGGGGAUUAAGUCGGCGGUGAAAUUUUGCAGCUCAACUGUAAAAGUGCCUUCGAAACUGGUUUCCUUGAGUGUAGAUGAAGUAGGCGGAAUUUGUGGUGUAGCGGUGAAAUGCAUAGAUAUCACGAGGAACUCCGAUUGCGCAGGCAGCUUACUAAACUACUACUGACGCUCAUGCACGAAGGCGUGGGGAUCAAACAGGAUUAGAUACCCGCGUAGU
Molecule: ribosomal RNA, 271 nt
Filed under: uncultured prokaryote
Description: partial 16S ribosomal RNA
Rfam family: Bacterial small subunit ribosomal RNA
Source: RNAcentral